Astatotilapia calliptera (eastern happy) is the source of this 1069-nucleotide long non-coding RNA. Lineage: Eukaryota; Metazoa; Chordata; Actinopteri; Cichliformes; Cichlidae. The record is from Ensembl.
AUGGCAAUCAAUGAUCAAUGGCAUUUUGCGUAUUAAUGAUCAAGGAACUGACCUCACAGCCCAUUGUUCAUUCAGUGGGCUGGUUUCAGUCAUUGUGCAAAGAUACUGUAUAAGGCUGGGGAAACCCACAGUCAGCUGAGACUGAAGAAGUCACUUGGAUGAGUGACGAAAUGUUUCUCCAGCUGAAAAUGUUACAUCCAGAUGAACAGAAUCAACCUUUCGGGAUUUACUUACCUGGAUGAUUGAGUAUCCAUCAAGAUAUUGUGUCCAUGUUUAUGACCAAAAAAUAUGAUGGGCAUUAAACUCUUGAAAAAGGUUUAUUGCAUAGAAAUAAUCGCAGCGACUUCAUAUUGAACACUAAAAUGAACUUAUGUUAAAUUCACUUGUGUCACUUGUCUGUGCUUCGUCAUUUGCACAAACUGAAAAGAACCACCGAAAGUGCUUGUUGUAGCGUGAAAAAAUGGUUCAUAAUUCCGCCAAAGUUAUAUGUCAACAGCGUCAUUAAAAAAAUUAAAAUAAAAAAGGAAAUAGAGACUGACAGUGAAUGACAAAAAAAAACAAGAUUUGGGUCCAUCUUUGCUUAUGGAGGUAAAAAAACGGGUUGAAAAUUUAGCACUUAAACAUAAUUGUCCCUAAAGAGCAUCAGUGUUUGGAUCCAGUGUCUUUAUAUUCACAGCUAACGCCGCCCCCCUCCUGUAUUACACAGAUCUUACCUCAGCCCUUUGUAGGAGUAAAAAUCCCCCUUUAGUCUCCUGCCUUUGUUUCAGCUUCACAGAUAAAACAGAUUUGAAAGUGAAUUCAGUGCAGGUUCCUCAACAUGGUGUUAUUGCAGAAAAAAAGAGUAUCUACUGUUUCAUUCUCCACUUCGCUGUGCAUCAGUCGUCAGCACAAACUUCCAACCAGGCAAAAAAAAGAAGAAGAAACAACCAACCAUUGUACUGUAAUAACCCUGUGUGUGUGUGUUUGUGUUUUUUUCUGCACUAUGUCCUUCCCUCUGUUGUCCCCCUCCUUUUGGUGGAUGGUGCUUGUUUAGACUUUGUUAUUGUUUCUUUAUGUAACGCUGCUGAGC